RNAcentral lists this long non-coding RNA (867 nucleotides) under Dermacentor andersoni. Its description in RNAcentral is "uncharacterized LOC126520831". Lineage: Eukaryota; Metazoa; Arthropoda; Arachnida; Ixodida; Ixodidae. The record is from RNAcentral.
AAAGAAAGCGAUGCAUGGACCCACGUAUCGAUAAAUUGCGAGGCAUAAGGACGUUAAGCCUGUGCCAUAGAAGUCUGCGGCAAAGGAGCAAACGAACGGGGAUUUGGCUAGCUUUGCCGAUCCCGUUCGUUUCGGUUCCUCUUAUUCUAUGUUCCCAUUGUUCUCCGUCGCCAUUCUACGCCUGCGCGCUGUUUGUGGUUCUCUAGUUGCCCGCUUGUGCCGCUUUGUUGACCCUUCAGGUACGAGUUCAUUGGGCUUCAACCUUCAUUACCGCUCUUCGUCCUAUUCGUUUAUGAUGCCAUCGUACCUCUGUCUUUUGGACUACGGCGCGAGUUGUUCAUUUCGGGAGCGAGGAAGGGGGGAAAAAAGAAAGGCAAGAGCGCCAUCUAUGUGCCCGUGGGACGACGCCUGUCACUGCGCGUAUUAAUGGCGCAGCUUUUUGAGCAAGCGUCUCGGAACAGUGGCGAGGGCUUAGCGGGCGAAUGAUGUGAUAAAAGCAACCCCCGAGAAACGGGUCUCCUGGUUUUUAUCGAGCUGCACAUCGCUUGAGGAGCGGGCAACGUUUGACUCCUGCCAUGGACAUCAAGGCAGUGUUUGUAUUUGUCCUGUCGGCAGUGCUGGCAGACAUGGUACAUGGCCAGUGUGGGCGACCUGCGAGGUGCAGGGGGCCCUGUCAGCUCGGUCUGUCGCUCCCUGGAUAUUGCGGAAUCUGUGUCUGCGCUCCGCUGUGCCCCAUCUGUCCUUCUCGUUGCUACUACCGAAGAGCAGGAAGGUGUCCGGCCUGCGCACCAGCCAGCGUGUGCUACAAGUAGAGACGUCGUCGGAGUUGCGAGACUGAGAACUCAAUAAAAUGAUCCCUUGUCUGUG